AGAGUUUGAUCCUGGCUCAGGACGAACGCUAGCGGUAUGCUUAACACAUGCAAGUCGAACGUGAAAAUCUUUUCGGAGGUGAGUAAAGUGGCGCACGGGUGAGUAACACGUAGAUAAUCUAUCUUAUAGAUCGGGAUAACUAUUCGGAAGAAUAGCUAAUACUGGAUAAUACUUUAAAGUUAGUUCUUUUUAGUUGAAAGGAAGCAAUUCUGCUAAAAGGUGAGUCUGCGGAUCAUUAGCUAGUUGGUAGGGUAAAGGCCUACCAAGGCUACGAUGAUUAGCGGGUCUGAGAGGAUGAUCCGCCACACUGGAACUGAGACACGGUCCAGACUCCUACGGGAGGCAGCAGUGGGGAAUUUUGCGCAAUGGGGGAAACCCUGACGCAGCAAUACCGCGUGAGUGAAGAAGGCUUUUGGGUCGUAAAGCUCUUUGUCUUAAGGAAGAAAUAUGACGGUACUUAAGGAAUAAGCACCGGCUAACUCCGUGCCAGCAGCCGCGGUAAUACGGAGGGUGCAAGCGUUGUUCGGAAUCACUGGGCGUAAAGAGUGCGUAGGCGGUUUGAUAAGCUAAAUGUGAAAUCCCUAAGCUUAACUUGGGAAUUGCAUUCAGAACUGUUAGACUAGAGAUAUUUAGAGGUAGAUGGAAUUUCUGGUGUAGAGGUGAAAUUCGUAGAUAUCAGAAGGAACACCCGUAGCGAAGGCGGUCUACUGGAAAUAAUCUGACGCUGAGGCACGAAAGCAUGGGUAGCAAACAGGAUUAGAUACCCUGGUAGUCCAUGCUGUAAACGAUGGAUACCUGCUGUUUGGUCUUAGACCGACCAAGUGGCGCAGCUAACGCGAUGAGUAUCCCGCCUGGGGAGUACGGUCGCAAGACUAAAACUCAAAGGAAUUGACGGGGGCCCGCACAAGCGGUGGAGCAUGUGGUUUAAUUCGACGCAACGCGAAGAACCUUACCUGGGUUUGAUAUUCCUUGAUAGCUCUAGAGAUAGAGUUUUCUCUUCGGAGACAAGGUAACGGGUGCUGCAUGGCUGUCGUCAGCUCGUGUCGUGAGAUGUUGGGUUAAGUUCCGCAACGAGCGCAACCCCUGUCCUUAGUUGCCAGCAUUUCGGAUGGGCACUUUAAGGAUACUGCCGGUGUUAAGCCGGAGGAAGGUGGGGAUGACGUCAAGUCCUCAUGGCCCUUAUGUCCAGGGCUACACACGUGCUACAAUGGCGACUACAAAGAGAUGCAAGACCGCAAGGUGGAGCUAAUCCCAAAAAAAGUCGUCUCAGUUCGGAUCGCAGUCUGCAACUCGACUGCGUGAAGUUGGAAUCGCUAGUAAUCGUAGAUCAGAAUGCUACGGUGAAUACGUUCCCGGGCCUUGUACACACCGCCCGUCACACCAUGGAAGUUGAUAUUGGCAGAAGACAUUGAGCUAACCUUACGGAGGCAGAUGUCUAAGUUGCUAUUGAUAACUGGGGUGAAGUCGAAACAAGGUA
Molecule: ribosomal RNA, 1477 nt
Filed under: metagenome
Description: bacterial SSU rRNA
Rfam family: Bacterial small subunit ribosomal RNA
Source: RNAcentral